UUAGGAUUAUUCCCUUUUAAGUACUAUUAUUACUAGUAAAUUUGCAUAUUGCCUUGGAGUAUUAUAUACCAAAUUAUAAUGCAGCAACUAGAAAAAAAUUAAUAAUUGUCAUUGAUAUGUAGAAUCAUAAAAUAAUAGUCAGUUAAGUCUGCAUGUAGCAGUAAGUGUGGGGAAAAUACCAACUUGUACAAAGAAUAAUAGCAGCAAAUGGAAAAGAGAAAACAAUGACCUUAAUGUCAUUAUUACAUAAUCAGUUUGAACAUCUGCUGCAUAUAUGCAACAAGUAGAACUCAGUAGUUGUCACAGUUGUCACAUUGCUUAUGAAAACUCACUUUAAAUAUAAAGACACAAGGAAAUUAAAUUAAAGUUCUUGAAUAAUCCAAAAUACUAAAAAUAAUAAAAAAAAAUAGCAGAGGAGAAUCAAUGUGCACUUUGGAAAGAGGAGACUUCAAGACAACAAAAGUUAUCAGAUAUAUUAAAAAAAAGCCUAUUGGGGAGUUAGGCCCCAAUAAAAAUUCCAUAUUGUUUAUACCUAGCCACACAGCAGUAAGUGUAACAGGACACAAGUUAUAAAACUUUAAAUCAAUUGCUCCAUUAUCAUUAGAGAUUAUCUCUAUAAGAAAUGGGAGGAUCCAGGGUGCAGAAAGAUAGAAAGGAUGCAGUUGAACUCCACAAUGAACCAAUCGAUUGUACAGAGUUGAAAGCAUAGACUUUUGUAUGCAAUAAGAGCAAAACCACAUCCUUGUCAAGGAGACAUGAAAUUUUUGAACAAUUAAAUAAUAUUAUCACUCACAAAAAGCUAUGCAAAUUUCAAUAAAUAAAAAAUAUACAAUGUUUGCUACCAGACUACCAUGGAAUCAAAGAAACUAAACUAGACAUCAAUAUCAGAAAGACAACUGGGAAAAUAAUUUAAAAAUAGUGGAGAUUAGACAAUAUAUUCAUAACACAAUCAAGAGGAAUUUAAAAAUGUCUCAAAUUUAAAUAAAAAUAAAAUUUCAAAUGACCAGAUGGUUUGAAAGCUGAGGCCGGAUGAACACAAAUUUAACGUUAGACUAAGUAACAUAAUUAGAAUAUUUAAAAUUUUUAAAAAGUGAAAAUAUUUACAAUAUUAUUAGCAUUAUAUCUUAGUGGUUAGAGCUCAUGCCCAAGAAAUGCCAUACCUUAUGUUCAAUCCCAGCACUAGAACAAAUAAGUGGGGGAAAAAAACUUUGAAAAUAAAGCAAAUAUCAAUGAAAUAGAAAGUAGAGAAUUGCUGGAGAAAACUAAAGCAACUAACAGAUCAAUUAAAUUGAUAAAUCUGUAGUCAGGCUUAUUAAGAAGUGGGUACAAGGUGCUAAUACAUUAGAAAAUAAACAGAGAACUCUUUCAUGUGCUAAAGAGUAAAACAAUGUGAACUGAAUAAUGUAAACAGAUUAAAGGAGGAAUAUGUAAAGCAGAUUAUGGUAAUUAACCGUGAUUGUCAACUUGACUGGAGCAUAACUCUCUGAGAUAUUAGCAAAGCUUUGGGGUAUGUUUCUGAAAUAAUUUCUAGAGAGGAUUAGAUAUAGAAAGCAAGCCAUGUACCCUCAUUCACCUUUCUCUGUUUCUAUUCUGUAUUUGUAAUGGGUAAAGUUCCUCCGCACUCCCACUGCCAUGAGAUCACAUUAUGAAGGAUUGACUACAGGCAAAGAAAUAAAUGAAGAGAAACACUUCCCGUCUAAGUUUUCUUUUCUUUUUUCUUUUUUUGUUUGUUUGUUUGUUUGUUUUGUUUUUUUUGUUUUUUUGUUUUUCUAGACAGGGGUUCUCUGUAUAGCCCUGGCUAUCCUGGAACUCAAUUUGUAGACCAGGCUGGCCUCAAACUCAGAAAUCUGCCUGCCUCUGUCUCCCGAGUGCUGGGAUCAAAGGCGUGUGCCACCACACCCGGCUAAGUUUUCAUUUUUAAUGUAAGUUUUCAGUCAUGGCAACAAGAAAAGUAAGAAAUAAUGUGCUUUAUACCCAAACUCAUACAAUAAUAAAUAGACAAUCCAAUUGUUGAUAUCGAUUCAGUAAAUUAAGAUGAUUACUGACCUCCCCAAACAGAAAGCUUAACACCCACAUCAACCCUCUGGUGAUUUCUAUCAAACAUAGGAGAAAGAAGAUGCAAACUUCUUACUUGUAGGCUACAAUGUUUCUAAUCCAGAAAACAGAAGCAGGGGUAAUUAUCAGAAUCAAAUUUUUUUUAAAAAAGCUACCUAUCAAUUUAUUCUUCAAUCAUAACUAUAAGUAUAUGCAACAAGAAUAUUAGCAAAUUAUAUUUGAUAAUAUGUGAAAGGAAUUAUACCUCAAAAACAAAACAGAAGAAAAGCCAUGUCAUCAUCUCCGCCGCUGAAGAUAUAUCAUUUGACAAAAAUCUACUACAUGUUCAUAUAACAAUUACUAGUUAAACAAAUUUUCUUCACAUGAUGAUCAAAAUAAUAAUAAAAGAAACAAACCUGUAAAUUAUAUAUUUCAUACUUAGAAACUUAAGUGAAUUUUAGUAUCUGUGCUCUGCUCAGAAUUCUUUUUAGAAUUGUACUAAAUUUACUACUAAAUCAUGGGAAACAUGGGACUAAUAAAGAACUAUAACACAACUGCAGGAUUGAGGGUCAACGUGAAAAUCUAUAGAACAUGUGGAAUAUAAAACUCAAAACACAAUACAUGAACAUCCCAAACAAAGGAAAAUACUAGGCUCAGUCAUUACCGAACAUCAGGAUCCGUUUCCAGUGCCCACUAUCACCUAUAUUUCCAGUUCCAUGGGAUCUCACACUCUCUCUGGACCUCUUCUAGCAUGAACACACAUGUGAUAUUUACUCACACAGAAACAGAGAACCAUAUACACAAGUUAAAAU
RNAcentral lists this long non-coding RNA (2846 nucleotides) under Mus musculus (house mouse). RNAcentral describes it as "long non-coding RNA chr12:37938462-37941308". Lineage: Eukaryota; Metazoa; Chordata; Mammalia; Rodentia; Muridae. The record is from RNAcentral.